Molecule: ribosomal RNA, 465 nt
Filed under: uncultured bacterium
Lineage: Bacteria
Description: partial 16S ribosomal RNA
Rfam family: Bacterial small subunit ribosomal RNA
Source: RNAcentral
CCUACGGGUGGCAGCAGUAGGGAAUUUUUCACAAUGGGCGAAAGCCUGAUGGAGCAAUGCCGCGUGAAUGAUGAAGGUCUUAUAGAUUGUAAAAUUCUUUUAUUUGGGAAGAAAAACUAAAGCAGGAAAUGACUUUAGUCUGACUGUACCAUUUGAAUCAGUAUAGGCUAACUAUGUGUCAGCAGUCGCGGGAAUACAUAGGAUGUAAGCGUUAUCUGGUUUUACUGGGCGUAAAACGGGCGAAGGCGGGUUAACAAGUUUGGUAUGAAAGGCUUUUGCUUAACGAGAGUUUGUAUCAAAAACUGUUAAUCUAGAGUGUAGUAGAGGGUUCUGGAAUGCCAGGUGUAGCGGUGGAAUGCGUAGAUAUAUGGAAGAACACCGGUGGCGAAGGCGAGAACUUAGGCUAUCACUGACGCUUAGGCUCGAAAGUGUGGGGAGCAAAUAGGAUUAGAUACCCCAGUAGUC